AGGGGGCAAGCGUUGUCCGGAAUCAUUGGGCGUAAAGCGCGUGUAGGCGGCCCGAUAAGUCCGCUGUGAAAGUCCAGGGCUCAACCCUGGGACGCCGGUGGAUACUGUCGGGCUCGAGUCCGGAAGAGGAGUGUGGAAUUCCUGGUGUAGCGGUGAAAUGCGCAGAUAUCAGGAGGAACACCAAUGGCGAAGGCAGCACUCUGGGACGUGACUGACGCUGAGACGCGAAAGCGUGGGGAGCAAACAGG
This 248-nucleotide ribosomal RNA is filed under the name uncultured bacterium. RNAcentral's name for it is "partial 16S ribosomal RNA". It matches the Rfam family "Bacterial small subunit ribosomal RNA", at positions 529 to 776 of the family's 1533-position model. The record is from RNAcentral.